RNAcentral lists this ribosomal RNA (254 nucleotides) under uncultured bacterium. Its description in RNAcentral is "partial 16S ribosomal RNA". It matches the Rfam family "Bacterial small subunit ribosomal RNA", at positions 524 to 776 of the family's 1533-position model. The record is from RNAcentral.
UACGGAGGGUGCGAGCGUUGUCCGGAAUCACUGGGCGUAAAGGGCGCGUAGGUGGCCUGUGGAAGUCUGCGGUGAAAGCCCGGCGCUCAACGCCGGGUCGGCCGUGGAUACUCUCGGGCUUGAGCUUACUAGAGGCAGAUGGAAUUCCGGGUGUAGCGGUGGAAUGCGUAGAGAUCCGGAAGAACACCGGUGGCGAAGGCGGCCUUCUGGACAGCAUCUGACGCUGAGACGCGAAAGCGUGGGGAGCAAACAGG